GAUGAACGCUGGCGGCGUGCCUAACACAUGCAAGUCGAGCGUGAACCCUGCGAAUGAAACUUCGGUCGAUUUUGCAGGGGAAGCGGCGGACGGGUGAGUAACGCGUAGGUAACCUGCCCCAUACUGAGGGAUAGCCUCGGGAAACCGGGAUUAAUACCUCAUAACACCGUAUAUUCGCAUGGAUGUGCGGUCAAAGAUUUAUCGGUAUGGGAUGGGCCUGCGUCUGAUUAGCUGGUUGGUGGGGUAACGGCCUACCAAGGCGACGAUCAGUAGCCGACCCUGAGAGGGUGAUCGGCCACAUUGGAACUGAGACACGGUCCAAACUCCUACGGGAGGCGGGCAGUGGGGAAUAUUGCACAAUGGGCGAAAGCCUGAUGCAGCAACGCCGCGUGAGCGAAGAAGGCCUUUGGGUCGUAAAGCUCUGUCGGGUAGGAAGAUAAUGACGGUACUACCCGAGGAAGCCCCGGCUAACUACGUGCCAGCAGCCGCGGUAAUG
Molecule: ribosomal RNA, 496 nt
Filed under: uncultured bacterium
Lineage: Bacteria
Description: bacterial SSU rRNA
Rfam family: Bacterial small subunit ribosomal RNA
Source: RNAcentral